UCCGUAGGUGGAUAAUUAAGUCAGAGGUGAAAUCCUGCAGCUCAACUGUAGAAUUGCCUUUGAUACUGGUUAUCUUGAGUUAUUAUGAAGUAGUUAGAAUAUGUAGUGUAGCGGUGAAAUGCAUAGAUAUUACAUAGAAUACCAAUUGCGAAGGCAGAUUACUAAUAAUCAACUGACACUGAUGGACGAAAGCGUGGGGAGUGAACAGGAUUAGAUACCCUGGUAGUCC
This 229-nucleotide ribosomal RNA is filed under the name uncultured bacterium. Its description in RNAcentral is "partial 16S ribosomal RNA". It matches the Rfam family "Bacterial small subunit ribosomal RNA", at positions 568 to 796 of the family's 1533-position model. The record is from RNAcentral.